UGGGGAAUCAUGGUCAAUGGGCGAAAGCCUGAACCUGCGACGCCGCGUGAGUGAUGAAGGUCGUAAGAUCGUAAAACUCUUUUCAGGGAUCUUAAAGCCUGUCUGUCAACAACAGGCAGGUCUGACUCUCCCUGGAAGAAGCCCCAGCCAACUACGUGCCAGCAGCUGCGGUAAUACGUAGGGGGGGAGCGUUAUUCGGAAUUACUGGGGGUAAAGGGUAUGUAGGCGGCCCUUCAAGUCGCGUGUCAAAGUCCAGUGCUCAACGCUGGGUGUGCACGCGAUACUGACGGGCUGGAGGGCUGGAGAGGUGAGCGGAAUUCCCGGUGUAGUGGUAAAAGACGUAGAGAUCGGGAGGAACACCAGCGGCGCAGGCGGCUCACUAGACAGUUUCUGACGCUAAGAUACGAAAGCGUGGGGAGCAAACA
RNAcentral lists this ribosomal RNA (425 nucleotides) under uncultured prokaryote. RNAcentral's name for it is "bacterial SSU rRNA". It matches the Rfam family "Bacterial small subunit ribosomal RNA", at positions 355 to 774 of the family's 1533-position model. The record is from RNAcentral.